GUACUCACUUUGGCAGCACAUAUACCCAAAUUGGAACAAUACAGAGAAGACAGCAUGGCCACUGCCCAAGAAUGACAUGCAAAUUCAUCAAGCAUUAAAAAACGAA
Homo sapiens (human) is the source of this 106-nucleotide small nuclear RNA. The record is from Ensembl. Lineage: Eukaryota; Metazoa; Chordata; Mammalia; Primates; Hominidae.